RNAcentral lists this ribosomal RNA (427 nucleotides) under uncultured bacterium. RNAcentral describes it as "bacterial SSU rRNA". It matches the Rfam family "Bacterial small subunit ribosomal RNA", at positions 355 to 774 of the family's 1533-position model. The record is from RNAcentral.
UAGGGAAUAUUGGACAAUGGGGGCAACCCUGAUCCAGCCAUGCCGCGUGAGUGAAGAAGGCCCUCGGGUUGUAAAGCUCUUUUGUCCGGAAAGAAAAGCAUUCGGUGAAUACCCGGAUGUUCUGACGGUACCGGAAGAAUAAGCACCGGCUAACUUCGUGCCAGCAGCCGCGGUAAUACGAAGGGUGCAAGCGUUAUUCGGAAUUACUGGGCGUAAAGCGUGCGUAGGUGGUUGUUUAAGUCUGAUGUGAAAGCCCUGGGCUCAACCUGGGAAUGGCAUUGGAUACUGGGCAGCUAGAGUGCGGUAGAGGGUAGUGGAAUUCCCGGUGUAGCAGUGAAAUGCGUAGAGAUCGGGAGGAACAUCUGUGGCGAAGGCGACUGCCUGGACCAGCACUGACACUGAGGCACGAAAGCGUGGGGAGCAAACA